UUGCCGCGUUUGACAUCAGUGAGGAGAAAAGCGCGCCAUGCCUCAGUUAUCGGGCAACUGAUCACAUACAUCGCAUAUCGCAAAGGUGCUGGGCGCAGAAGUGUAUAUUGUGAAAGGUUGAUUGGAGGUCUUGGAGUGUCCACUAGAUGGUGAAAGAUCCUUGAGGAAUGCUAGAUGGAGACCGUGAGAAGUCAGCCCAUGCAGGAAGACACUUUCCUCAAAAUCCACAAACAGAUGUCCUCUAUGUGUCUCAAAUCAAGGU
Labeo rohita (rohu) is the source of this 262-nucleotide long non-coding RNA. RefSeq lists it as uncharacterized. The record is from RefSeq and is a predicted model, not a curated record. NCBI's taxonomy places the organism in Eukaryota, Metazoa, Chordata, Actinopteri, Cypriniformes, Cyprinidae. The transcript is spliced from 3 exons.